RNAcentral lists this ribosomal RNA (467 nucleotides) under uncultured bacterium. Its description in RNAcentral is "partial 16S ribosomal RNA". It matches the Rfam family "Bacterial small subunit ribosomal RNA", at positions 28 to 507 of the family's 1533-position model. The record is from RNAcentral.
GACGAACGCUGGCGGCGUGCUUAACACAUGCAAGUCGAACGGAAAGGCCUCUUUCGGGGGGUACUCGAGUGGCGAACGGGUGAGUAACACGUGAGUAACCUGCCCUUGACUUUGGGAUAACUUCAGGAAACUGGGGCUAAUACCGGAUAGGAGCUCCUGCUGCAUGGUGGGGGUUGGAAAGUUUCGGCGGUUGGGGAUGGACUCGCGGCUUAUCCGCUUGUUGGUGGGGUAGUGGCUUACCAAGGCUUUGACGGGUAGCCGGCCUGAGAGGGUGACCGGCCACAUUGAGACUGAGAUACGGCCCAGACUCCUACGGGAGGCAGCAGUGGGGAAUAUUGCACAAUGGGUGGAAGCCUGAUGCAGCAACGCCGUGUGCGGGAUGACGGCCUUAGGGUUGUAAACCGAUUUCGCUCAUGACGAAGCUUUGUGUGACGGUAGUGGGUAAAGAAGCACCGGCUAACUACGUG